GUGGGGAAUUUUGGACAAUGGGCGCAAGCCUGAUCCAGCAAUGCCGCGUGCAGGAAGAAGGCCUUCGGGUUGUAAACUGCUUUUGUACGGAACGAAACGGUCCUGGUUAAUACCCGGGGCUAAUGACGGUACCGUAAGAAUAAGCACCGGCUAACUACGUGCCAGCAGCCGCGGUAAUACGUAGGGUGCAAGCGUUAAUCGGAAUUACUGGGCGUAAAGCGUGCGCAGGCGGUGCUGUAAGACAGGCGUGAAAUCCCCGGGCGUAACCUGGGAAUUGCGCUUGUGACUGCAAGGCUGGAGUGCGGCAGAGGGGGAUGGAAUUCCGCGUGUAGCAGUGAAAUGCGUAGAUAUGCGGAGGAACACCGAUGGCGAAGGCAAUCCCCUGGGCCUGCACUGACGCUCAUGCACGAAAGCGUGGGGAGCAAACAGGAUUAGAAACCCCAGUAGUCC
RNAcentral lists this ribosomal RNA (450 nucleotides) under uncultured bacterium. RNAcentral's name for it is "partial 16S ribosomal RNA". It matches the Rfam family "Bacterial small subunit ribosomal RNA", at positions 354 to 796 of the family's 1533-position model. The record is from RNAcentral.